GCAUAUCAAUAAGCGGAGGAAAAGAAACCAACCGGGAUUGCCCUAGUAACGGCGAGUGAAGCGGCAAGAGCUCAAAUUUGAAAGCUGGCUCCUUCGGGGUCCGCAUUGUAAUUUGCAGAGGAUGCUUCGGGAGCGGUCCCCAUCUAAGUGCCCUGGAACGGGCCGUCAUAGAGGGUGAGAAUCCCGUAUGGGAUGGGGUGCCCGCGCCCGUGUGAAGCUCCUUCGACGAGUCGAGUUGUUUGGGAAUGCAGCUCUAAUUGGGUGGUAAAUUUCAUCUAAAGCUAAAUAUUGGCCGGAGACCGAUAGCGCACAAGUAGAGUGAUCGAAAGAUGAAAAGCACUUUGAAAAGAGAGUUAAACAGCACGUGAAAUUGUUGAAAGGGAAGCGCUUGCGAUCAGACUCGCUCGCGGGGUUCAGCCGGCCUUCGGGCCGGUGUACUUCCCCGCGGGCGGGCCAGCGUCGGUUUGGGCGGCCGGUCAAAGGCCCCUGGAAUGUAACGCCUCUCGGGGCGUCUUAUAGCCAGGGGUGCCAUGCGGCCUGCCCGGACCGAGGAACGCGCUUCGGCUCGGACGCUGGCAUAAUGGUCGUAAGCGACCCGUCUUGAAACACGGACCAAGGAGUCUAACAUCUACGCGAGUGUUCGGGUGUCAAACCCGUGCGCGCAGUGAAAGCGAACGGAGGUGGGAACCCCUCGGGGUGCACCAUCGACCGAUCCUGAUGUCUUCGGAUGGAUUUGAGUAAGAGCGUAGCUGUUGGGACCCGAAAGAUGGUGAACUAUGCCUGAAUAGGGCGAAGCCAGAGGAAACUCUGGUGGAGGCUCGCAGCGGUUCUGACGUGCAAAUCGAUCGUCAAAUUUGGGUAUAGGGGCGAAAGACUAAUCGACCAUCUAGUAGCUGGUUCCUGCCGAAGUU
RNAcentral lists this ribosomal RNA (911 nucleotides) under Penicillium westlingii. RNAcentral describes it as "LSU rRNA". It matches the Rfam family "Eukaryotic large subunit ribosomal RNA", at positions 38 to 968 of the family's 3401-position model. Lineage: Eukaryota; Fungi; Ascomycota; Eurotiomycetes; Eurotiales; Aspergillaceae. The record is from RNAcentral.